RNAcentral lists this non-coding RNA (1288 nucleotides) under synthetic construct. The record is from RNAcentral.
GAGCGUCAGCCAUGGCCUUCCUAUCCACAUCUGUGCUCAUUAAAUGCUGCAUCCUCCUGUUGGCAGGAGGAUUGGCUGAGAGCCUUACUCUAGGUUUGGCACCUGCUCUGUCUACCCACUCUUCUGGAGUGUCAACACAGUCUGUUGAUUUGUCACAAAUUAAAAGAGGCGAUGAGAUCCAAGCCCACUGUCUGACACCAGCAGAAACUGAAGUGACUGAGUGUGCUGGCAUUCUGAAAGAUGUUCUGUCAAAAAACCUUCAUGAGCUUCAAGGGCUCUGUAAUGUUAAGAACAAAAUGGGUGUACCAUGGGUUUCUGUGGAAGAGCUGGGUCAAGAGAUUAUAACAGGCAGAUUGCCAUUCCCCUCUGUGGGUGGCACACCAGUGAAUGACCUGGUACGAGUUUUGGUGGUGGCAGAAUCAAACACCCCAGAAGAGACUCCAGAGGAGGAGUUUUAUGCCUAUGUGGAACUUCAGACUGAGUUGUACACCUUUGGUCUGUCUGAUGACAAUGUGGUUUUCACUAGCGAUUAUAUGACUGUGUGGAUGAUUGACAUUCCCAAAUCUUAUGUGGAUGUGGGCAUGCUCACACGAGCAACUUUCCUGGAGCAGUGGCCGGGUGCCAAAGUGACUGUCAUGAUUCCCUACUCCUCCACCUUUACCUGGUGUGGAGAGCUUGGCGCCAUCUCUGAAGAAUCUGCCCCACAACCAAGUUUGAGUGCCAGAUCCCCGGUCUGUAAGAACAGUGCCAGAUAUUCUACCUCAAAAUUUUGCGAGGUAGAUGGAUGCACAGCUGAAACUGGCAUGGAAAAGAUGUCUCUGCUCACUCCAUUUGGAGGCCCACCUCAACAGGCUAAGAUGAACACUUGCCCAUGCUACUACAAGUACAGCGUGAGCCCACUGCCUGCCAUGGACCACUUGAUCCUAGCUGACCUAGCUGGCCUGGAUUCUCUCACUUCACCUGUUUAUGUGAUGGCAGCAUAUUUUGAUUCUACACAUGAAAAUCCUGUGAGACCAUCCAGCAAGCUUUAUCAUUGUGCUCUACAGAUGACAAGUCAUGAUGGGGUGUGGACUUCAACUUCCAGUGAGCAGUGUCCCAUUAGACUGGUUGAGGGCCAGUCUCAAAAUGUGCUGCAGGUCCGGGUGGCUCCGACAUCGAUGCCUAACCUGGUUGGGGUCAGCUUGAUGUUGGAGGGGCAACAGUACAGGCUGGAGUAUUUUGGGGAUCAUUGAUACUCAGUAACUUAAGAGGAAAUUUUUUUGUUAAAAAUAAAGUUAUUUUUAAAAAA